CAAAUCUGCUUUGAUAAUGCUGGGAGUGGAUGGGGAGCGAAAUUUAGUAGCGAAUUAGCUCAUUACACACGGAAAAGUAAAGUCUCUAUCGAGUUUAAAGGUACCCAUACCUAAUACCGAAACAGGUGGGUGAUGAGAGUAUCCUAAGGCUAGCGAGAGAACUGUUGGUAAGGAACUCGGCAAAAUGACCCCGUAACUUAGGGAUAAGGGGUGCAACCAUCAGGUGGCCGCAGAGAAUAGGCCCAAGAGACUGUUUACCAAAAACAUAGGUUUCUGCUAAGUCGCAAGCCGAUGUAUAGGAGCUGACCCACGCCCGGUGCUGUCAGGUGAAGGGUGUCUGUUAGAGCNAUCGCAGCAGUGCACUUAAGCCACACUAAACGGCGGACGUAACUAUAACGGUCCUAAGGUAGAGAAAUUCCUUGUCGGGU
RNAcentral lists this ribosomal RNA (428 nucleotides) under Clostridioides difficile. Its description in RNAcentral is "bacterial LSU rRNA". It matches the Rfam family "Bacterial large subunit ribosomal RNA", at positions 1537 to 1977 of the family's 2925-position model. Lineage: Bacteria; Bacillati; Bacillota; Clostridia; Peptostreptococcales; Peptostreptococcaceae. The record is from RNAcentral.